Molecule: ribosomal RNA, 480 nt
Filed under: uncultured bacterium
Lineage: Bacteria
Description: partial 16S ribosomal RNA
Rfam family: Bacterial small subunit ribosomal RNA
Source: RNAcentral
AUGAACGCUGGCGGCGUGCCUAACACAUGCAAGUCGAACGGAGAUUACGGACGGAAGUUUUCGGAUGGAAGACUGUAAUUCUUAGUGGCGGACGGGUGAGUAACGCGUGGGCAACCUGCCCUAUACAGGGGGAUAGCAGCUGGAAACGGCUGGUAAGACCGCAUAAGUCGGCGAGACCGCAUGGUUUUGCCGGGAAAUGAGCAAUCAGGUAUAGGAUGGGCCCGCGUCCGAUUAGCCAGUUGGCAGGGUAAAAGCCUACCAAAGCAACGAUCGGUAGCCGGACUGAGAGGUCGGACGGCCACAUUGGGACUGAGACACGGCCCAAACUCCUACGGGAGGCAGCAGUGGGGGAUAUUGCACAAUGGAGGAAACUCUGAUGCAGCGACGCCGCGUGAGUGAAGAAGUAUUUCGGUAUGUAAAGCUCUAUCAGCAGGGAAGAUGAUGACGGUACCUGACUAAGAAGCCCCGGCUAACUACGUG